CCUACGGGAGGCAGCAGUGGGGAAUCUUGCGCAAUGGGCGCAAGCCUGACGACGCAACGCCGCGUGGAGGACGAAGAUCUUCGGGUCGUAAACUCCUGUCGAGUGGGAAGAACGGCCCGCGGAUGAACAAUCCGCGGGAGUGACGGUACCACUAAAGGAAGCCCCGGCUAACUCCGUGCCAGCAGCCGCGGUAAU
Molecule: ribosomal RNA, 195 nt
Filed under: uncultured bacterium
Lineage: Bacteria
Description: partial 16S ribosomal RNA
Rfam family: Bacterial small subunit ribosomal RNA
Source: RNAcentral